GGCUCUGUAGUGCAAUGGUAGCACGUCUGACUCCAGAUCUGAAGGUUAUGAGUUCAAGUCACAUCAGGGUCA
This is a non-coding RNA of Syngnathoides biaculeatus (alligator pipefish), 72 nucleotides long. The record is from the annotation of a RefSeq genome assembly. Lineage: Eukaryota; Metazoa; Chordata; Actinopteri; Syngnathiformes; Syngnathidae.